RNAcentral lists this transfer-messenger RNA (354 nucleotides) under Rickettsiales bacterium. It matches the Rfam family "Alphaproteobacteria transfer-messenger RNA". From Rfam's summary of the family: Bacterial tmRNA, also known as 10Sa RNA or SsrA, is named for its dual tRNA and mRNA-like properties. Its role is to liberate the mRNA from a stalled ribosome. Lineage: Bacteria; Pseudomonadati; Pseudomonadota; Alphaproteobacteria; Rickettsiales. The record is from RNAcentral.
AUCAUUGACAUCAAAAUUAUCCGAAGUAUAAUGAACUGCGCUCGAGAGAGCUAUGAUAAUAAGUUGUGUACGUAAUAAAUGUUUUGGACCCGGGGGCGGUGCCCGGCAUUUCCACCAAACUUUAUGGGAAUGAAAUAGAUUUGACAUCCAUUAAAAGGUGCACAUUUUGUCCAGCGAGAUACUGCUGUCCUAAAAGGAGAAAAGUUCAAAAAUUGUAAAUGCAAACGAAAAUUUUGCUGGUGUUGCUUUAGCUGCGUAGUCGUAAGACUCUUUUCUUGACAGAAAUGUACUUGCUUUUAGCAUUUAGUUAGGCAACAGGGGAUUGGGGGUGCCUAUCAACAGAAGUCCCCCGCG